RNAcentral lists this transfer RNA (84 nucleotides) under Candidatus Obscuribacterales bacterium. RNAcentral's name for it is "tRNA-Ser". It matches the Rfam family "tRNA". From Rfam's summary of the family: Transfer RNA (tRNA) molecules are approximately 80 nucleotides in length. Their secondary structure includes four short double-helical elements and three loops (D, anti-codon, and T loops). Further hydrogen bonds mediate the characteristic L-shaped molecular structure. tRNAs have two regions of fundamental functional importance: the anti-codon, which is responsible for specific mRNA codon recognition, and the 3' end, to which the tRNAs corresponding amino acid is attached (by aminoacyl-tRNA synthetases). tRNAs cope with the degeneracy of the genetic code in two manners: having more than one tRNA (with a specific anti-codon) for a particular amino acid; and 'wobble' base-pairing, i.e. permitting non-standard base-pairing at the 3rd anti-codon position. The record is from RNAcentral. Lineage: Bacteria; Bacillati; Candidatus Melainabacteria; Candidatus Obscuribacterales.
GGAGCAGGUCCGACACGGUCGAGGAAGCGGUUUGCUACACCGUCUGCCCUGCAAGGGUUACAGGUUCAACUCCUGUCUGCUCCU